Molecule: long non-coding RNA, 568 nt
Organism: Eucalyptus grandis
Lineage: Eukaryota; Viridiplantae; Streptophyta; Magnoliopsida; Myrtales; Myrtaceae
Exons: 2
Source: RefSeq, a predicted model, not a curated record
AAGUGUCUUGUGACAUUGUAUAGGAGCGUCGAUACAAUGUGCUACAAGGUCGACUGCAAGAAGUGCGGGAAGUACACAUGGGGUGGCUGCGGCAAGCAUCUGACCACCCUCUAUAACAGCAUCGAGAAGGGCAAGCACUGCAUGUGCACCUCGUGGCCCGGCGUCGUUAUGCCCUCGUCGACGUCGGAGCAAGCAUCAGCUUCGUCUGCUGCUGGUAAGUAAGAUGGGAGAUCUUCAAGAUGCACGAAGUCCCCCAACGUUCUUAGAUCUUGGUGGGGGCUAAUGAAAUCAGAAGCACUAAAUAAAGAGGAGAGAGAAAACCCUAGUAGCGUGGACACGAUCGUGUCCCUUGUUUUUAUGCAACAUCAUAAUUUUUCCAAUGCUUGGCUUGGAAGACUGGCGUGUCGGUAGAUAGACAGAGAUUGGGAAUAAAUGAUGGCGGAGGGUUCGGGCGUGGUCAACGUAAAUUGACCAAUGAUGCUCGAAUCAGUGUGGUGUCGUGCUGCUGCUCACGAGCAUGUAAAAUAUUCAAAAGUUGAAACCCCGUGCAGAGUGCAUCGUGCUAUAA